This 253-nucleotide ribosomal RNA is filed under the name uncultured bacterium. RNAcentral's name for it is "partial 16S ribosomal RNA". It matches the Rfam family "Bacterial small subunit ribosomal RNA", at positions 524 to 776 of the family's 1533-position model. The record is from RNAcentral.
UACGGAGGGUGCAAGCGUUAUUCGGAAUUACUGGGCGUAAAGGGCGCGUAGGCGGCCUUCUAAGUCAGACGUGAAAUCCCCCGGCUUAACCUGGGAACUGCGUCUGAUACUGGGAGGCUUGAGUAUGGGAGAGGGAUGUAGAAUUCCAGGUGUAGCGGUGAAAUGCGUAGAUAUCUGGAGGAAUACCGGUGGCGAAGGCGGCAUCCUGGACCAUAACUGACGCUGAGGCGCGAAAGCUAGGGGAGCAAACGGG